RNAcentral lists this ribosomal RNA (1381 nucleotides) under uncultured bacterium. RNAcentral's name for it is "16S ribosomal RNA". It matches the Rfam family "Bacterial small subunit ribosomal RNA", at positions 27 to 1399 of the family's 1533-position model. The record is from RNAcentral.
GAUUGAACGCUGGCGGUAUGCUUAACACAUGCAAGUCGAACGGAAACGAUACUAGCUUGCUAGUAGGCGUCGAGUGGCGGACGGGUGAGUAACGCGUAGGAAUCUGCCUGAUAGUGGGGGAUAGCCCGAAGAAAUUCGGAUUAAUACCGCAUAAUCUAUUCGUAGUAAAGUGGGGGACUUUCGAGCCUCACGCUAUCAGAUGAGCCUGCGUAAGAUUAGCUUGUUGGUAGGGUAAAAGCCUACCAAGGCGACGAUCUUUAGCUGGUCUGAGAGGAUGAUCAGCCACAUCGGGACUGAGACACGGCCCGAACUCCUACGGGAGGCAGCAGUGGGGAAUAUUGGACAAUGGGGGCAACCCUGAUCCAGCAAUACCGCGUGUGUGAAGAAGGCCUGAGGGUUGUAAAGCACUUUCAAUUGUGAAGAAAAGUUAGCGGUUAAUAACCGUUAGCCUUGACGUUAACUUUAGAAGAAGCACCGGCUAACUCCGUGCCAGCAGCCGCGGUAAUACGGAGGGUGCAAGCGUUAAUCGGAAUUACUGGGCGUAAAGCGUGCGUAGGCGGUUUAUUAAGUCAGAUGUGAAAGCCCCGGGCUUAACCUGGGAACUGCAUUUGAAACUGGUCAACUAGAGUAUGGUAGAGGAAAGUGGAAUUUCUGGUGUAGCGGUGAAAUGCGUAGAUAUCAGAAGGAACAUCAAUGGCGAAGGCAGCUUUCUGGACCAAUACUGACGCUGAGGUACGAAAGCGUGGGUAGCAAACAGGAUUAGAUACCCUGGUAGUCCACGCCGUAAACGAUGAUAACUAGCCGUUGGGGGGAUUUACCCUUUAGUGGCGAAGCUAACGCGUUAAGUUAUCCGUCUGGGGAGUACGGCCGCAAGGUUAAAACUCAAAGGAAUUGACGGGGACCCGCACAAGCGGUGGAGCAUGUGGUUUAAUUCGAUGCAACGCGAAGAACCUUACCUGGUCUUGACAUCCUGCGAACUUUCUAGAAAUAGAUUGGUGCCUUCGGGAACGCAGUGACAGGUGCUGCAUGGCUGUCGUCAGCUCGUGUCGUGAGAUGUUGGGUUAAGUCCCGUAACGAGCGCAACCCCUAUCCUUAUUUGCCAGCACAUCAUGGUGGGAACUAUAAGGAGACUGCCGGUGAUAAACCGGAGGAAGGCGGGGACGACGUCAAGUCAUCAUGGCCCUUACGACCAGGGCUACACACGUGCUACAAUGGGAAGGACAAAGAGCCGCGAAGCCGCGAGGUGUAGCUAAUCUCAUAAACCUUUUCGUAGUCCGGAUUGGAGUCUGCAACUCGACUCCAUGAAGUCGGAAUCGCUAGUAAUCGUAGAUCAGAAUGCUACGGUGAAUACGUUCCCGGGUCUUGUACACACCGCCCGUCA